GUACUGGUGUUACUGGUUCCUACCUUCUGACGAACCAUCAUGUCAUUCAUUUGGUGUGGCGGGGAAUCAGGACUGUUACUUUGAAAAAAUUAGAGUGUUUAAAGCAGGCUCGCGCUUGAAUACAUUAGCAUGGAAUAAUGAAAUAGGACGUUGAUCCUAUUUUGUUGGUUUCUAGGAUUGACGUAAUGAUUAAUAGGGAUAGUUGGGGGCAUUAGUAUUCAAUUGUCAGAGGUGAAAUUCUUGGAUUUAUUGAAGACUAACUACUGCGAAAGCAUUUGCCAAGGAUGUUCUCAUUAAUCAAGAACGAAAGUUAGGGGAUCGAAGACGAUCAGAUACCGUCGUAGUCUUAACCAUAAACUAUGCCGACUAGGGAUCGGAUGAUGUU
This 385-nucleotide ribosomal RNA is filed under the name uncultured Glomeromycotina. Its description in RNAcentral is "SSU rRNA". It matches the Rfam family "Eukaryotic small subunit ribosomal RNA", at positions 677 to 1064 of the family's 1831-position model. The record is from RNAcentral. Lineage: Eukaryota; Fungi; Glomeromycota.